GAUGAAGAACGCAGCGAAAUGCGAAAAGUAAUGUGAAUUGCAGAAUUCAGUGAAUCAUCGAAUCUUUGAACGCACAUUGCGCCCGCCAGUAUUCUGGCGGGCAUGCCUGUCUGAGCGUCAUUUCAACCCUCACGCCCCUAGGGCGUGGUGUUGGGGAUCGGCCAGCGCCCGCGAGCGCAAGGCCGUCCCCCAAAUCUAGUGGCGGACCCGUCGUGGCCUCCCCUGCGAAGUAGUGAUAUUCCGCAUAGGAGAGCGACGAGCCCCUGCCGUUAAACCCCCAACUUUCUCAGGUUGACCUCAGAUCAGGUAGGAAUACCCGCUGAACUUAAGCAUAUCAAUAAGCGGAGGA
Molecule: unclassified non-coding RNA, 349 nt
Filed under: soil metagenome
Description: partial contains 5.8S ribosomal RNA, internal transcribed spacer 2, and large subunit ribosomal RNA
Rfam family: 5.8S ribosomal RNA (bases 1-120)
Source: RNAcentral